GAGACACGUUGGACCCUUGUGGAUAUAAAUAUCCUUCCCCUACCCGUCAAAUGUGUGACAGUCACAGACCGUAACCUCAUUUCUGAGUUCUCACUUGCCCCUAACUGAACUGAGCGACAGCAAUGGCGAUUGAAAGCUUUCAGGCGUCUCUCCCCCCUGCUUUGGAUUCUACUUCUAACCCUCCUUCCCUUUUCGAUGGAACGACCAGGUUGUACAUAUCUUACACAUGCCCAUUUGCGCAGCGUGCUUGGAUUACCAGGAAUUGUAAGGGGCUGCAGGAAAAGAUUAAGUUGGUUCCAAUUGAUUUGCAAAAUAGGCCUGCUUGGUACAAGGAGAAGGUCUAUCCUGCGAAUAAGGUACCAUCACUGGAACACAAUAAUGAAGUUAGAGGCGAGAGUCUUGAUCUGAUAAAAUAUAUUGAUAGCCACUUUGAAGGGCCGCCACUUUUCCCUGAUGAUGCAACAAAGAGAGAAUUUGCAGAAGAGUUAUUGUCGUACACUGACACAUUCAACAAAACUGUGUUUACUUCGUUCAAGGGAGAUGCAGAUAAUGAAGCUGGUGCUGCUUUUGAUCACAUAGAGAAAGCACUUUCAAAAUUUGAUGAUGGGCCUUUCUUCCUUGGCCAAUUUAGUCUGGUAGAUAUAGCCUAUGCUCCAUUUAUUGAGAGGUUUAAGCCAUUCUUUCUGGAAGUAAAGAAUUAUGAUAUUACAGCAGGAAGGCCUAAACUGGCAGCCUGGAUUGAGGGCAGAUUCUGCUUGAGCUAGGGAUCCCUCUUGUUUCUUUAGGUCUGUCCAAAGAAGGUAGUGGGAAAUGGACAACAUUGAGGCUUACAAACAAACCCGACGUGAUCCCAAGGAGCUUGUGGAAAGUUAUAAGAAACGAUUCUUGGCACAGCUCUGAAUGUUAUGGUGGUUUCUUCAACCCAUUAAUAAAAUAUCCGACUUCAUGCUCCCUAAAUGCUUUUAGUGCUUCUAUGAAGUGUGGUAGAUCAAAAAUAUAGAAUCAAUGCUGUGAAGGACAUAAGAAAAUAAAAUAAGGUUAAAGUCCUUCAUGGAGAAAGGAACGGUAUUUACAACAAAUUGAUUCUUUAGAUGUGUAAUGGCUUGUUUCAACCUUAACUUUUAUUACCCCAAAAUUGGCUGCUGUUGUCAA
Molecule: RNA transcript, 1152 nt
Organism: Macadamia integrifolia
Lineage: Eukaryota; Viridiplantae; Streptophyta; Magnoliopsida; Proteales; Proteaceae
Gene name: glutathione S-transferase L3-like
Exons: 11
Source: RefSeq, a predicted model, not a curated record